Molecule: ribosomal RNA, 484 nt
Filed under: uncultured bacterium
Lineage: Bacteria
Description: bacterial SSU rRNA
Rfam family: Bacterial small subunit ribosomal RNA
Source: RNAcentral
GAUGAACGCUAGCGGCAGGCUUAAUACAUGCAAGUCGAGGGGCAGCGCGGGUAGCAAUACCUGGCGGCGACCGGCGCACGGGUGCGUAACGCGUAUGUAAUCUACCAUUAACCGGGGAAUAGCCCAGAGAAAUCUGGAUUAAUGCCCCAUAGCAUUAUUGGAAGGCAUCUUUUGAUAAUUAAAGAAUUUCGGUUUUUGAUGAACAUGCGUGUCAUUAGUUUGUUGGCGAGGUAACGGCUCACCAAGACUACGAUGACUAGGGGGUCUGAGAGGAUGAUCCCCCACACUGGUACUGAGACACGGACCAGACUCCUACGGGAGGCAGCAGUAAGGAAUAUUGGGCAAUGGAGGCAACUCUGACCCAGCCAUGCCGCGUGAAGGAUUGACGGCCCUCUGGGUUGUAAACUUCUUUUGUACGGGAAUAACCCUCCGAACGUGUUCGGAGCUGAAGGUACCGUAAGAAUAAGGAUCGGCUAACUCCGUG